GGAAUUCCCCUCAUUUGCUAGAAUCUGCUCAAAUAGCUCCUUGACCAUAUCGAUUCCCCGCUUCACUCUAAGGAGGUUUCGUGAAUGGCUACCAGCUUGUCUCACACGGUUCUGCUGUAUGUCCAGGUCAACCAUGGAGUGUAAUGUGGUAAUAGAACUUGAUGCCUGUAACAGAUCCUCUACCUUGGCGACAUAAUCCAUCUCCGCGAACUUGAAGGCGAUCCCGAGGCAGCCGAAGAGGACGGACACGUGGGAGCAGGCGCGGGAGAAGGGGCCGACCUCGAGGGCCGCCGAUUUGGAAUUCACCGUCUCGGCGAGGGCCUUGAAGGACUCGCUGAUCUCCCUCAGCGGCUUCUUUCCCUCUGCGGCCAUUGAUCAACGUCCGGCGUCGGAGUCGGCGUCGGUGUCUCUCUCGUGUCGGUGCCCUUGACACCUGGUUGAAGAUGCUCAGCUCAACUCCAGCGGCAAGGAAAAGGCGAUAUUCCCCAGCAAGACGAUAUUACGG
RNAcentral lists this unclassified non-coding RNA (505 nucleotides) under Hevea brasiliensis (rubber tree). Lineage: Eukaryota; Viridiplantae; Streptophyta; Magnoliopsida; Malpighiales; Euphorbiaceae. The record is from RNAcentral.